AAUGGCCUUAAGUUUUUCCACAGGAGGUUCGGGAUGGAUAUUACAAAAGAUUUCUUUUCAGAAGGAUUGAUCAGACAUUGGCAUAUGAUUCCAGAGAGGUUAUGGAGUCACCAUCCCUGGAGGUUCUCAAGAAAAGGGAAUUGUGGCACUGAGAGAAAUGAUUAGUGGACAUGCUGAGGAUGGGUUGGAGUUGGACUUGGUGAUCUUAAAAGUUGUUUCCAAUCAUAAUGAUUCUGUGGUUCUAUGAUUUUUCAGCAGGUAUUAGCAUGGAAGAAAUGAAAACGGUCCAAGUUGGAUUCUGCCUUCCACACAACUGCUGAGGGAAGUGGUCCUCACCCUGCUCAUCCCUGAAUGCAUCUGUGAGGAAUUGGCACUCCUUCUGUAUCCGCUCCUCCAGACUCCUCUUCCCCAGGCCAAGGUUUCAGAGGGUGGUCAAGGUGAACCUUCUCUGCUGCUUCUACAGGUGCCCAUUGGAGGACAGCAGCCCUCGCAGAAGCAUUUCACAGUGAGCAAAGUAAGAUGUUCUCAGCAAGGGGAAGAAACUGGAGGACAUCUGCCUUGAGAAACGAGGAGGAGCUGUGAAAGUAGCUGUGUUCAGAAUGAAUGUGAAGCUACAACAUUUCCCCCAACUUUCCUCCUCAUAUGUCCAAAAGAACGAUGCUUUCACUGUGUUUCAGGGAAGGACAGGAAGAUUUGAAAUGGAAAUCGGGCAAGCUGAGCCUGGGAGAGUGAUUGGAUAAAUAUUGAUUGUGUGCAGUCUUCUUCCUUGUUUCCUGAAUCAGUAUUCAGAAGUAGAUGUAAAACCUUCCAGGCUGCAUUUUUGAGGCUUUGCAAGACUCAGGUGAGC
Molecule: long non-coding RNA, 847 nt
Filed under: Gallus gallus (chicken)
Lineage: Eukaryota; Metazoa; Chordata; Aves; Galliformes; Phasianidae
Description: long non-coding RNA NONGGAT009053
Source: RNAcentral